Molecule: long non-coding RNA, 1250 nt
Organism: Astatotilapia calliptera (eastern happy)
Lineage: Eukaryota; Metazoa; Chordata; Actinopteri; Cichliformes; Cichlidae
Source: Ensembl
CUGCACACACGGACACGCAGCCCACCAGCUGCAGAAGGCUGGAGCGGUCCCUCGGAUCCUCCAGCGAAGGCGGAUGAAGGCUGGAGCGGUCCCACGGACCCUCCAGCAGACGACGAAGGCUGAGGCGGUCCCUCCCUCGGACCCUCCAGCAACGGCAAACGGCUGAAGCGGCCCUCGGACCCCACAGUGACUGGACGAGCCCCCAUAUGUUACACCCCGGCCUAGGCAACCGGAGUGCAACACGAAAAAAAGUAAAAAUAAAGAAAAAACACACGAGAAAGAACUAAUACGGACCCUCCACAAAAUUAAUCCCAAAACGAGAUUUAAAGCAAAAUACCACAUUUAUUUACAUCACCAAACACAAGACGUCAAACUAUUUACAACGGGGGGAAGAUCGCGACCAUGACAUACAGAAACACAAGGCUUAAAUACAUAGAAGGAGCAAUCAGGGAAUGGACCACAGGAGGGAAACACAGCUGGGGCAAAUUAGACCUGACGAGACAAGGAAACGUAAACUGAACACACUAAGAUAACAGACCUUCAAAAUAAAACAGGAAACACAUGACAGUCACGCAAAAACAAAACACUGACAACACCGAAACGUAACACCAAGAAAAACAAAGGUGAGCAAAGUCUGCCAUCAUCUCCACUGAAUAUUGUUCAACAUGUUUAUCUGCUCUUACAAUGUAAAUCUGUUUAUUUUAAUAUUUAUAUUUAUGUAUUCACAAUCCAUCAGCUUUUAAAAAUCUACUAUUUUAUCUUUGCAUUAGUGGAGACAUCCAGUUUCCUCCUGGUUAAUGAUAUUAUUGUUUUCAAUGAUCUUCUCGUCAUUCACAGGAACAUCAAGUCCUGCAGCUGAUGCAGCAGUUUAUUCUGAAGUCACAUCAGGAAGCUCUCUCAGUCAGUGAGGAGAGCUGUAGCAGCAAAGCCAAGAAGAAGCUUUUUAUGAAGCCACUCUUGCUCCUCUGCUCCACAAAUAUCAGACAUGCUCAGCUUUAUGUGCAGUUACAAUAUUACAUCAUAAUAUCAUAUAGAGUUAGUACUCUCUUAUAGCAUAAAGCAUACUGUGUUCUAUAUAGUCAGCUGUUUUUAUAUUCUUAAAGCUUUCUGUAUAUAAAACUUAACUGAAUGUUUCCUGUUUCAACAUCAGUGAGAACAAAGUGUGAAAUAUGUGAUCUUUAGUAGCUGAUAGCACGAAUUUAAGUCAGCAGUGUUACAUUAAAAAGUACUGUUAUGGGCAGCAACACAUA